RNAcentral lists this small nucleolar RNA (143 nucleotides) under Jaculus jaculus (lesser Egyptian jerboa). The record is from RNAcentral. Lineage: Eukaryota; Metazoa; Chordata; Mammalia; Rodentia; Dipodidae.
GUACCUCUUCUAAAGAAAGUAGAACUGUGAGUUGGCCAGUGAACUCACAGGUUUAGGUAGUGUGGGAGAUGAGUGGCAAGGUUUUUGCUAACAUUCCACCCUGGCUCAGUGGGUAGAGUUUGAUAGUAAACUGUGCUACAAGU